Molecule: long non-coding RNA, 18985 nt
Filed under: Lathyrus oleraceus (garden pea)
Lineage: Eukaryota; Viridiplantae; Streptophyta; Magnoliopsida; Fabales; Fabaceae
Description: Pisum sativum (pea) long non-coding RNA (PSAT_LNC009181)
Source: RNAcentral
UCCACUUUCCCUCACAUAAAAAAGAAAAAAACGGAAAAGAAAAGGGAGGAGAUACUCAACGCUCACUCUCCUCUCAUAAGCUCUCCAACGUCUCGAAAAAAAAAGAAAUUUAAAAAAAGGGACCUACCCACUUAAUUGACCCAUCACUCACUCUCAGUGAAAAAAAAGAAAAAGAAAACAAAAGAAAGAGAAAACAAAAAGGGAGAGAGAGCGCUCUCUCACGUUUCCUCUUCUUCUCCACACCUCUACCGCACUCCCUCUGUUUUCCGUUCACCACCGCAUCACAAAAACCGGCCAACCUCGCCACUUCCGCUUCCACCGUUAAGCACUCAUUCUCAAUCAUUCUCUUCCACCUUCCGCCAUAAACAAUGACACAACAAUAACAUUCACUGUUCACCGUGUCAAGCCCUAGUGAAUCGUUUUCAACUUGCAAUCAUACCAACACCACGUGACCUUCAUUCAUCACUCUCCUACCGUCGUCACGCUAACGACACCAUCCCACCUUCCACUGCCGACGUGCACCUUCUUCAACCAACAACCUUCUUUCCUCCGCGAUUCACACCGAAAAUCGUCGCACUUCCAUCCUUCAUCACCGCCAACAAUAACCCCCACCGGCGAACACCGUUUCCGCUGUCUCACCUCCAAACUCAGUUCCGUCUCGUUAGAACAACCAACUCCGACGAACCCACUUCGUCGGUGUCGCUCUUCAUCGCCGCUGCGAAACAACAGCGCCUCCCCCCGCCUUAACAAUAACAACCUGUUUCAGUUUCAACACAACAUCAACGAAUCAGUUCCAUUCCAAACCGCGAGGCCAUUUCUCUUUUGGUACCGGUCCAUCGGAGGUAACGGUUCGAAAUGAUUCUUUUUUUCUGUUUUAUCAAGUGUGAAGUGUGUUGCCGUGAUAUUAGAUCCGGAGGGAUUCAAUUACGUCCCGUGUUUGUUAUACUACUUUGUCUUGGCAAGUUAUUUCGGUUAAAUUAUUGUUGGUCCUGCGUUUUGGUAACUAGAGUUUCAGUUUUUGUUGAUUUCGAUUUUGCACCAAUGUGUAUAAUCAUGAGUUGUGGUCGUGGUUUACAUAGGAAUGUUGAGGCGUUUGACUCCAUGUGUUUUUACCAGUAACUGUGUAAUAGAAGGUUAAAGAAAAAAACCAAACUUGAUUUAAUAUGUUAUUAAGAUAGUUGUUGGCACAUUAUCAUUUCUUAAUCAUUUUUUAGAGUUGAGUUUAAAAUUCAGAUUUUUGGGUCAUCUGAAUGGUGAAGAGAUGGGCCCAUUCUUUUACUAGCUUAGUGUAUCCUGGCUUUACUAAUAAUAAAUUUCCAUAUGUUGUAUUAAUUUUUGUAAGGAUGGUUGUGAUUGAUGUUUCUGUUUGCGUUGCUUGAUAGGAUUUAUAAUCAAUGGACUCGACAAUAUAUGUCGUUAUGCCAUCAAAAACCCAAUAUAUCAAUAGAAUGUUUUCACCGUAUUUGGAUCUUGUGAAUGACAAUGGACAUGUUGUUUCGCAUAAACCGAUUCGAGCACACCGACUCAAUUCGAUCAUUUCACAUUUUUAUAUUAUCGCUUAUUUCUCUUUUAAAAAAAUCAAUUAAUUAAAGUUUUGAUUAAAUUAGGAUGAUUUUAAUAAUUAAGUUUAAUUAACUUAAUUAUUUGAUUAUGUUAAUUUUUAAAUCAAAUAAUUUUUAUAAUUAAUUGUAAUUACCUUAGUUAGACGAUUUAAUUAAAUUUUAAUCAAACAACUUUGUUAAAAAAAAAUGGACCGACUUAUCUCAUCAUCAAUUCAUAAUCCUUUUAAACCAAUUCAAUCAUCAGUCCAAACCAAAUUUCUAAAACAAAAUUGCACAAUUCUCGAGUUAACAUCAAGCCCACUUUCAAAACAACUCCUUUGUAAGUCGAUUGCUUUAGCAUCGCCAUCAACCUCACGUGUAAAUAAUUUCACUCGCCAUUCCGCAAAUCCAAACAAUUUUCUAAACAAUUUAACUUUUAAAUAAUUUCCUUUUUUAGCGUAAACUUGGGAUGAAAAGAUAUAGGAAGCGUUCGCCUCACUAUUUCUCAGGCAUUCAAAUGAUUGGCGCACGCCAUAUUACUUGAAUUCUUGUCAUCCGAUUAAAGCUUCAACCAUAAUAUUCAAAUCAUUUCUUCCAAAUUAAUAUAAUUUCUAAAACAUUCUAAAUUCUAAAUUUCCGAUAAUCAAAGUAUGGGAGGCGUUCGCCUCACUAUCUUUCGAUUAUUCGAAUAAUUGGCGUACGCCAUAUUGAUCGAAUUCUCGUCGUCAAAUUAAAACGCAAUCGAAUAAAUUCAAAUCACCUCUUAGAUUAAACACAAUUUCACAAAAUAAACUUUAAACUUAAAUUUCAAUUGAAGAAUGGGAGGCGUUCGCCUCACCAUUCUUUGAUUAUUUGAACGAGUGGCGCACGCCAUAUUGCUUAAGUCAUCGACUUUCGAUCAAAACCUACAAAUUCAAAAUUCAAAUUAUUUUCCCAAAUUAAUAGAAUAUAUGAGAACAUUUCUUUUUUAUAAAUUAAGUACCGAAUGAUAAAGGAUGGGAGGCGUUCGCCUCACCAUCUCUUGAUUUAUUGAUCGAUUGGCGCUCGCCAUAUUGCUCGAUUUUCUUUCGACUUCCGAUUAAAAUACUUUAAAUAAACUUGGAUAAAGGAAUGAAUGGUGCACGCCUUAUUAUUCCUUCAAUAAGCAAGUGGGAGGCGUACGCCUCACUACCAUGCAUAUUCGAUUUCCGCAAACAAACUUUUGAUAAUAAUUCGAAUGAAAAUGGCAAUAGGAGGCGUUCGCCUCACUAUUCCUUGAUUGAAUUGAGCGACUGUUGUGCACCACAUUGCUCAAUCUUUUGUCGUUCCUCAAAAUAUCUUAACACAUCAAACAUAUUUUCUCGCCCCCGUGCGAUCGAAACCAAUCAAACAAAACGUCAAACAUAUCAAUUCAAUUUCCCGCCUCUGUGCGACCAACAAUUCAACUCUUGUCAAAAAAAACACUAUUAAUCCUUUCUAAUACGCACGACAGACCAGUGCUUAAGCCUCCGCCGAGAGUAGACAAGCCAACGUUUAGCCUUUAGAAUGCGACCUACACAGUCGUUCAUUAAAAACAUCAACCAAAUUGUAGUUGCCCGAACUACGAAUGCUCUGAUUUCCUUAUUGCACCAUAAGGAUACGUAGGCAGGAGAUUGUUGUAUCUUCGCGAGCACACUCAUAAAAAACCUCCCUUUUCCCCUUCUGAGGUCUCCAUCCAUAUCUAGUAUCUAUUUUAAAUUACUCAAAGAAAGCGAAUAACAUUCAACUGACAUUCAAAUAGCAAAUUAGACUAAAAGGUUCACGUUGAGUACAACGGACGUGAGGGGUGCUAAUACCUUCCCCUUGCGUAAUCGACUCCCGAACGUGAAUAUGGUUACGACGACCAUUAUUCUAUUUUUCAAAGGUUUUAUGAUAUUUUCCUAUUCCUUAAUGGUAAUAAAUAAAGUUUGGUGGCGACUCUGUUCGACCUAAGUUUUUCCGCGAUCAUCGGGAGGAAUCGUAUUUUUCGAGAUGCGACAGAUGGCGACUCAAUUGGGGACUUUGCUCCAAGCAAGAGAGAGUCUAGCCUAACUUAGUCUAAUUUUGCUAUGACAGUUGGAAGAUAUUCUUUUCUUCCAUGUUUAUUUCUUUGUAUUUUAUUCUGAUUGCUUGUGUUGUAUGUAAUUUUUCUUGAUACUUUAAUAUGGGACUUGAUGUAUGGUGUGAGAUAAGCUUCAUACCCGAGCUUCGAGAAGAACUUAGAACCCGGAGUUGUGUAGUACUGAACCGAGGGGUAUACACCUCAUUGGGGCAAUACGAAGACUCCACCUAGAGUAGAUAUGUUUGGAGUUUCAAUCAUAAUAUGGCUAACCCAUUAUUGUGGGGAGAUUCUAAAUACGAUUCGUGACUCUAGGAACCUCGCCUUAAACCCAAGUUUUGUUUUAAUGAUUGGCGAUUAUGUAGUAUUGAACCGAAGGGUCUACACCCUAUUCGAACAAUAUGAGAAUCCCACUUAGAUUAGAUCAGUUGAAAACUCCCAUCACGAUGUGGCCAGCCCAUUAUUGAGAGGGAGUGUUGAACAUGAUCUGUGAGUCUAAGUUACUUCCUUGAAAACAUAACUUUAGAACCUACCUUUGGGGAUUUCUAGUAAUCAGAGAAACUCGGGCUUCUUCCUUUUAUCCUGACAUACCCGACGUGUGAAUAAUCUUGAGUAUUUGUAUUCCUUUGCGAAAAAUCAUGGCAGAAUUUCAUGCAUUUGCAUAUCAUCAACAUGCAUUGCAUAUCAUUGCCUAGAAACAAAAACUUGCACCAUAUUCUACCCUUUUACCAGUAACCUUGACUACUCGACACCGGUACGAGACAUGCCGCAAUUACAAGAUGACACUCGAACAGCUUGAAGCAAACCAGGUUUCGAUGAGAACAGACAUUGACUCCAUGCAAGCGAAGAUGGAUUGCCUGCUUGAAACUAUGUGGCUCUUAGCCCAGAAGGAGAUAGAUGCUGAGACUAGCGCCGAAGCCAGAAGAGUUGUUGCUCAGUUUGGAUCUCCGUCGCUUAGCAUCCUUGAAGUAACUAACCUUGAUGGUAAUCCUACCCAUCCUAAAGGAGGUCCCAUCCCUAUUCCUAUUCCCAUGGUCAACAUGAACCCCCAUGAACAUUCUGCUACAUCUGCUCGACAUGGAUCCAUGAUGGGUGAUGAAGAUUCGUAUGAUGCUUUCUUCAUGCCACAACUCGCCAAGCCUGUUGUUAGAGGUCUCCUAGACCCUGCUGUUGAGAGACUCCACGCUCUGGAGGAAAAAUUCAAGUCCUUGGAGGUUCACACUACUCUCGGUUUGGACGUCGUCAAUAUCUGCUUGGUGUCAGGUCUGGUGAUUCCGCAUAAAUUCAAAGUUCCGGACAUUGACAAGUACAAAGGGAUCAGCUGCCCGAGGACUCACCUCAGAGCUUAUUGUCGCAAGAUGGCUGCCCACAUCAAUAAUGAUCAACUCCUGAUUCAUUACUUCAAAGAUAGCCUUAGUGGGGCAUCUUUGGAGUGGUACAUGCAGUUAGAGAGGGGACAGGUCCAGUCAUGGAGAGACCUCGUUGAAGCUUUCCUUAGGCAUUAUCAAUACAAUAUUGAUCUAGCACCCAAUCGCACCCAGCUGCAAGACAUGACUCAACGCAACAAUGAGUCAUUCAAGGAAUACGCACAAUGUUGGAGAGAGCUUGCAGCUCGUGUCCAACCUCCUCUUCUUGAUAAGGAAUUAAUCGAUAUUUUUAUGGGAACUCUGCAUAUCCAAUACAUGGAAAAAAUGGUAGGAUCCAACUUCCCAACUUUUGGCGAGGUUGUCUCUGUGGGAGAACAAAUUGAAAGCCAGAUCAGGAUUGUAGAAGUAAUACCCUCUUGUUUCUUUAGGAUACCCCACAAAUAAGCAUAUGUCAAAUUUGGGUUCAAGCUUAGUUGAAAUUUGUCGUUUCACAUAAACUUCGCAACCCCAAAUCUUCAUAUAAGACAUAUGUGGUUUCUUACCACUCCAUAUCUCAUAUGGUGUCUUCUCAACCUUUUUGGAUGGAACAUGAUUAAGUGUGUAAGUUAUUGUCAAUAGUGCAUGUCCUCAAAAGGAGUUUGGAAGAUCGGCGUGACUCAUCAUGGAUCAGACCAUGUCUAACAAGGUUUGAUUUCUUCUCUCAGAUGCAUCGUUCCAUUGGGGUGUUCUAAGAGGAGUAAGUUGGGAUAGAAUCCCACACUCUUUCAGAUGGUCAUCAAGCUUUAGGCUUAAAUAUUCAUCACCUAGAUUUGAUCGAAGAGUUUUAAUAUUCUUACCCAGUUGGUUUUGUACUUCAUUCUUGAAUUCCUUGAACUUUUCAAAGGACUCUGAUUUGUGUUUCAUUAAAUACACAUAACCAUAUCUACUAAAAUCAUCAGUAAAUGUGAUGAAGUACUGAAAACCUCCUAUUUGUACUUCAUUCUUGAAUUCCUUGAACUUUUCAAAGGACUCUGAUUUGUGUUUCAUUAAAUACACAUAACCAUAUCUACUAAAAUCAUCAGUAAAUGUGAUGAAGUACUGAAAACCUCCUCUGGCAGGUAUGUUCAGCGGUCCAUAUACAUCAGUAUGUAUGAGGGCCAAAAGAUCAUUAGCUCUUUCACCUUUUCCUGUGAAUGAAGACUUUGUCAUCUUUCCAAUUAAAUGAGAUCUACAUGUCUCAUAUGAUUCAUAAUCAAAAGAGUCCAUCUUUAUGGAGUUUGGAAAUGUGUUUCUCGUUUAUGCGACCUAAUCGACAAUGUCAAAGGUAAGUUGGAUUUAACUCAUUAGGUUUCAUCCUUUUAGUAUUAAUGUUAUGAAUAGGCAUUUCAAGAUCAAGGACAUAUAGUCCAUUGUUCAUUUGGACAGUAGCAUAGAAUAUAUCAUUCAAAUAAAUGGAGCAACAAUUGUUCUUUAUUAUGAAUGAAAAACCAAACUUGUCCAAACAAGAAACGGAAAUAAUAUUCCUGCUAAUUGCAGGUAUAUAAUAACAGUUCUCUAACUAAAUUAUUAAACCACUAGGUAAAGUCAAUACAUAAGUUCAUACGGCUAAAGCAGCAACCUUUGCUCCAUUUCCAACUCGUAUGUCAACUUCACCUUUUGCCAAAUCUCUACUCCUUUUUAGCCGCUGCACAUUGGUACAAAUGUGAGAACCACAACCAGUAUCUAAUACUCAUGAUGCAGAAGUAGAUAGAUUAAUUUCAAUAACAAAAAUACCUGAAGUUGAAGUCUCUACUCCAUUCUUCUUAUCUUCCAGAUACUUUGGGCAGUUUCUCUUCCAGUGUCUGGUCUUACCGCAAUGGAAGCAGGUGCAUUUCUUUGCUAUGCCUCCACUAUGAUUCAAAGCAGGAGCAGUUGGUUUGGAUUUGGCAACUUCCUUGCCUUUCCCUUUACCACCCUGCUUGGUGGGUCUUUUGUUCUGUCUCUUUCCGUUUCCGAUCAUCAGAAUGGACUUCCCUUUUGACUUCAUAUUCUGCUCAGCAGUUCUUAACAUGCCUAGCAGUUCAGGAAGAGUUUUGUCCAUAUCAUUCAUGUUGAAAUUAAGGACAAAUUUAUUGAAGCUAUAUGGAAACGAUUGCAAGAUCAAAUCAGUCACAAGUUCCUUUCUGAGGGGAAAACACAACCUCUCAAGGUUCUCCACACACCCAAUCAUCUUGAGCACAUUGGGACCUACAGGGGCUCCCUCGGUUAACUUGCCUUGAAAAAGGGGCUUUUGAAACUUCAAACAUUAAAUGCCUUUCCUACUCUUGAUAGAGCAUCUUGAGGUGUUCGAUCAUAUCGAACGCUGCCAUAUUCUCAUGUUACUUUUGCAACUCUGAGUUCAUGGUAGCUAGCAUGAGGCAAGCAGUUUCAUUGGCAUCAUCGACGUGCUUCUUAUAGGCAUCUCUUUCUGCCUUAGAUGCAAUGCUAGGAUGUUCCUCUUCAGGAACAAGUUUCUCCAAGACAUGCAGCUUUCUAUCAUGCUUGAGGACAAUCCUCAGAUUUCGGUGUCAAUCCAGAAAAUUUAUCCCAGACAAUUUUUACUUAUCAAGGAUUGAUCGCAAAAUAUUGUUAGAGGUGUUUGUUGUCAUGGUAAUCUACAUGAAAAAUAUGAAAAUAUAAGUAUCACUAAAAUAACAUAUUUAAUUAGGCCUUUAAUUAAAUAUGCUCCCACUAUUUUACUCAAAACAAAUGACUCUCACCAUUUGAUUCAGAAAAUCCCGUUGGAAGAUUUUCUAGUGGGUCGAGAUCCACAUUUCACUUUGUUUUAAGUCCGCGUAGGCGGAUUACACAAAACUAGGUUAUUUCGGUAGGAACUCCUUCCAAUUGUAUCUAAUACAACUCAAAUAUUUUAGUUAAGUGAAUAACACCUUAUUCCAAUCCAUCAUAUGGAUCAUUUCCAACUCUUGCUCCUAAACAUAUAUAAUCUUAUUAUAAUUUGUUUAGUUAAGUUUGACACAUUGUUUUAGUAAUUGGAUAUUAUAAUUAUCCCAUCGCACCUUACUCAUAUAGAACAUGCACCUCGCGUGGCAAAACCUACAUUAUUCGAUACUAGUCUUGGUGAGUGCUAAAGCUUGGAAAGCAUAAACUUAAUAUUUAAUUUGAGGGAAUUUGCAAUUAUUUUGAUCUCACUGGCUUAUUUAUCAUAUAAAUCGUCUCUCACAUGCAUCAACAUACAUUCACAUGCAUCAACAUACAUAACUUGGAAAGCAUAAACUUAAUAUUUAAUUUGAGGGAAUUUGCAAUUAUUUUGAUCUCACUGGCUUAUUUAUCAUAUAAAUCGUCUCUCACAUGCAUCAACAUACAUUCACAUGCAUCAACAUACAUACAAAAUGAAACAAUUAUGGCCCCUAGCGCAAUUGUUCUCCCAAGCCAAUGAGAGAACCUAAGCUAACCUAAUAACGAUAUAAGCUUCUCCAAGCAAGAUCUUCAAGGUUUUCCUCCUUUGAUAUUGUAUUCUUCUCUUUCUUCAUAACAUUAUAUUACAUAAAAGAAACUCGUUUUACAUACGAGGCAGUGAGAUGAGAAAAGAAGUUACAUUAAGAGAUUAAAAGAGAGACACGACACGCAGGCCGUAUUUUAAAAUCCCAAAACAAAAAAAGGAAAACUAAGGUCAUAACCGAUCACCAUAAGACAAUAAUAAUAAACAAAUUAUUAUUAUUAAUUUAAAUUCUGUUAAUUAAAUAAACAAAAUUAAAUUUCGGUGAUUGAUCACACUACGCAGAGUUAGCGGGGGGCAGCGCCCCGACACAAAAUUUUAAUGAACAAUUCAUUUGAAAUCGACGUUGUUUUUCGCAUCAACACUUGAUGCUUUAAAGCACAAUUCUUGUGCAUUCACAACCCUAAUCGCAUAACUCUUUGACAGCACAACCCUUGUACCGUCAUGAACCCUAAUGCAGCAACUGCAUACCAUCAAACACACCUCGAUUGAUAAUUUAGUAUGAUUUAUCAACACGUCAUUGCUUCACCAUACUAAUGUCGGAUUCCAAAACAAAUGACCAUUGAUCGCUCAAACGAAUAUCAAUCACUAAGUGUUUGAAUGAACGAAAUAGAAAUAGUAUAUCAUAUAUACCGUAUUUUGCAUCAGAAUUACUUAUAUCAUAUAUAUAUAUAUAACAUGAUCAAUCUCAAUUGUGUAACCUAUGGACGGUCGAUGUAUCGCUGCUUCACCAUACUAACGUCGGAUUCCGAAGCAUAGUCAACAUCAAUCAUCCAAAUUAUACACACAUAAUGCCAAAUUUAAUUACUCAUUUAUUAUUUAAUUCAUUGUGUCUUUUAAUCGUAUUAAUAAAGAAAAUACAGAAAAUAAACAGCUAUCAGAUGCAUGGUUUCGUAACCAGGCUCUGAUACCAUUGAAGGAGAAUGGCGAUCCAAAAUGCAGCGGAAAUUAAAAUUUUCUCCUUUAGUGAUCCUUACGAAUGGGCAUGAUCAGUGAUAGAAAUCGUUACCUCUUGUGGAGAUUGAAACCUUUGAUGCAUAUCUAAGGAGUGAUCACGAACGUUGAAUGGUGACAACGCCUCUACUCAGUCCACACGAACGGAUUCCUUCUGUCUCAGUGCUAGCUGCUACGAAUGAAGGCUUUGAGUGUGUGUGAGAGAGAGAGAGAGAGAAACGAAAUUUCAUCUAAUGAAAUGCUUUUGCACAAGGGUUCUAUUUAUAGAAACACUUGUGUGGGUUGUAAGCUAAAAAACUCACUCAAGUGUAUGGGGCCCACUUAAGCGCGUGGUAGCUUGCCACAUUUCGUAUUCUACUUAAGUGCAUUGUAUCUUAUGAUGUUCCACAAUUCACUUAAGUGCACCGUACCUUACGGUGUUCCUUAUUUACUCUAUCUCUCAGCAAUCUAUCCUUUUGUGUGUGAUCCUGUAUGUUUUCGCGACAUUCACAAUUAUAUUAAAUCACGUAUUUAACAUAAUAAAUAUUGAGCGGUAUCUAGAAACAUAUCACUGCUACCCAAGGCACGAAAAUGUCAUGUGAUCUGACAAAUCCCUUUUUUGUGAUAAUACUUGUGUGUAAAAUUACCAUUUUGCUCUUAUGUCUAUAUCAAACACAAGGCAUAGAUAGUGGCAUCCUUGUCCAGUUCAAUAUUAGUCCCUUAGACAUUUAUCAUGUUACGCAUGAUGGGCAAACUCCAUCUAGGUCACUCAUGUCCCUCAGUAUGCUUCGUGGAGUACCCAUGAACUGUCUUUAUGGUCAUCCAGUUAUGGACAAUAUUUGAUCAGCAGUAAAACACUCGACUUUACAUAUAGGGUCUAUAGUGGUUUCAGGUCGAAGGGUGAUAUACACCACUAUCACCAUGAGAAUAACUUAUGACACUUUGUAUAACAUUCUAUAUAGUAUUCUCAUAGCGGAUCAAUCUAGUAUAAAUAUUACUCCUAAUAUUCAUACCUAUGUUUAAGACUUGAUAACUCCUUAUCCAUGAUCCAUGAGAUAUGAUCAUUAGUCUAUAUACAUAAUAGUCUUAAUGAUUUAAUGUUAUCCCACUUCACAACAAAGCUCGACUACGGAUACUUUAAUAAUAGUGUCCUUAUGUUUAAUGGGAUCUCAUGAUUAAGUCAUACUUGAUACAUUAAACGGGUUAGCUAUUCUAAGGACUUUAUUAAACAAACAUAAUAAAGAAAAAACCCUUUUUAUUAUUAAUAAAUAAUUCAAUACAAGUACCAAAAGUAUUGGCCUCUAGGGCUUACACCAACAGUUGUAGAUGUCAUUACCCAUCCAUCAUGGAUGACCCCAUUUUAAGAAUAUAUUCAGACGAGGUCAAGGAAUUCGUUUUAUCCACAACUCGAGUGGAUUAAUUACCCUAGUUGAAGAGGUCAAGGAAGUUAUAUGGUUAAGAGGUAUGAAUGAUGAGUUAUGAAUAACUCAAUAAUGUAUUAUGAUACAUGUGAUAGUCAAAGUGAAUUUUAUUUACUAAUAAUUAAGUGUAUCAUGAGAGAAAAACCACAUUGACACAUGUUUUCAUUUUAUUAUAGAUAUGAUUGAUUCGAAGGAGAUUGUGUUGGAUAAGGUUUCUUUGGAAAAUAAUUUGACAGAUAUGGUCAUCAAAUCAUUACCUAAGUCAAGAUUCAAGCAUUGAUUAGACUUGAACAAUUAUUUUGAAGAAUGAUUCAAGUUUAAAGAGAGUAUCAAGGUGGUUAAUAGGGAAAUUGACAUCACCAUCAAUUUGAAUUUAAGGUGAAUAUGUGUUGUAUAAUUUGACUUGAAGAGCAUUUAUCUCCUUUUGCCAAUAAUGACAAGAUUCACAACCAAACCUUGAAGGUUUUUCAUCCUCUUUCUUGUCAUUUUUAAAAUAUAUCAUAUACUUCUUCAUAGCUUCCAACUUCUUUCUGAUUCUAACACCUUAGCUUCUAAGUGUAAAAAGACUUUUUCAUGUGAAGCUAAUUUGUUAAAGGCAUUUAAGGCCUCUCUAUGAAGAUCUUCAAAAGCAUUUUGUAAUUGAAAAUAAGAUAAAUCAUUAAUAGAUUCAAUCUUAGAAAGACUUACAUUUUUCUUCUUUUUUCUAUUUUCCAUGAGGCAAAUCUGGGUCGAUUCUACACUUGAAGUAGAUAUUUCAUUACUUGCACUCUCCCAAGCAACAUAGGCUCUUCUAGAUUUUUUAGACUUCUUGUGAUGGCAUUUCUCUUUGUCUUUCUUAAUCUUAGGAUAUUUCGAUCUAUAAUGUCCAAAUUAUCCAUAAUUGUAGCAAGAACUCCUAAGUUUACCUUUCUUAUUCUCAUCUUCCUUUGAGGAUUAAGCCACCCUUCUAAACUUGGUUAGGUUCUUUUCGAAGUGCUUGACUCCAUUAUUCCUUAUAUACCUUUGGUACCUUUUGACAAACAAUCACAUGUCCUCAUCAUCGGAGUUCUUGUCAUCUCUUAUUUUCACAAUCACUUUGCUCAAUAUGUGAAGGCUUUGAGCUUUAAGUCUUUAGAGCAAUAGACUUAUUCUUUUCCACCUUGUAUUUACCUUUCUCUUUCUUUACCUUCAUCUCAUGUUUUUUUCAUGUUUUUCCAAGCAAGAGAGUUAUUGCUCACAUUCUUCCAAUUUUCCAAACAAAGUAGUGAGAUCAAGUACUUUAAGAUCAUUUGCCUCCUUGAUUGCGGUGACUUGGGUUAUCAUUCCCUAUUAAGACACCUCAAAACCUUAUUAGUAGCAAUAUCAUUGGAAAUAGCCUUACCUAGAUCACUCAAGCGGUUAAUAAGAUGUGUGAACCUUUUUUGCAUUUCAACAAUGGUUUCACCAUGCUUCAUACGAAAGAGUUCAAACUCUUGAUUCAAUGUGUUGAUCCUAGAUUUUUUGACCUCAUUAGUUCCCUCAUGGGUAACUUGUAAUGCGUCCCACAUAGCCUUGGCGGUUUCACAAUGGGAAACACUAUAAAAUUCAUCAACAUCGAGUGCUGAUAUGCGAAUGUUUUGUGCUUUCCAAUCGUAAGACCAUAAUUUCUUAUCAUUAUCAUUUCAUUGAUUUUCCGGUUUUGGUACGACGACGCCUUCACCAUUGGUCAUUGUAAUUUAAUUUAGGACCAUUGAUGAUGAUGUCCCAUACACCCUUAUCAACUGAAUUGAUAUAGAUACACAUAUAAGCUUUCCAAUAGCCAUAGUUUUUGCCGGUGAAAAUUGGUGCUCUAUUGUACGCCCUUUUAGGUUCGAUAGCCAUUUUAUAAUAAGCAAAUCUUAAGCAUGGAAUUAACUGGAUCUCGUGAUACCACUUGUUAGACGAUAGGCUUAGAUCUAGAUGAGGGUGAAUAGAUCCCGAGUUAAAAACUUCGACAAAAAUAUGCCUGCAUUGGUUGAUUUUUGCAUGUUAAAAACUUUCCUGAGCUACGGAAUGCACUUCCGUAUUAUGUCUAUAUUGGUUGAUUUUUGCAUGUUUGUCAUAUAGGUUUGCUUUUUUUUGCUUUGUAUUCUUUGUCUAGUUUAACUAUAGGUAAAAUGGUUGACAACUAAGAUUGAUUGAGGCACGAUAGAAUGUCCCAGGAAAUAUAUGUUCGUAAGGAGAGAGCUAGACUCUUGCGACCAUCUGUUGGUGCCAAUUCAUUUAAUACAAAAGUGUCCACUUCUAAAUUUCAAUUGUCUUCGACCUCAUAUUCCUAGAGGCAAGUGUCACUUGUUGCUGCCCCAGAAGUCCCACUAGUCCAUGUUGAUGCACGUGAUGUCGAUGGUGUCAUUCAUGAAGUUGUUCCUGAGGUUUUUAGAGGAGACUCGUAUGACACUUCACUACAUCCUCUACAUGUUACAUAAUGACAUUAGAGAGAGAAAAAAUUAAAAUAACCACUUUUUUCAAAAAAAAUCUAAAAUAAUCAAUAUUUCAAAAAAAAUCCAAAAUAACCACCUUUCAAAAUAGAUGCACUAGAUGAACUGGCGCAUCCAUUUUGAACCAAGAGGAGGCGCCAACACCACUGUCGCAUGCUUUAAAAGCAAUGCAUGGUGGCUCCAAGGGUGUUAGCGCAUACAUGUACUUGCAUGUGCUUGCGCCCAUGCUUCUGGCGCCUACAUGUGUUGAUAUGUGUGGCGCCUAGCCCUUUGGCGCAUGCAUUUUCAUACUUCUUCUAUAAAUACCUCGUCCUUCAACCAUAUUUUUCACACAACUUUUACCCUAUAACCACAUUUUCUUUCAGUCAACUUCAAUCUCCUUCAAGCUUUUGAGUUUUAACCAUGUCUGAAUACAUUCACAAGUGAAAUGUCGAUUUACUCUUUUCCGUCGUUGCGUCUCCGAUAAAGAUUCGACUUUGGAAUAUAGAUUCGUUUGAACGUCUUAAUCGGACAUUGAACAGUUGGUUAGAUGGAGAAAUUGGAGAUGGUGAAAGGAUUAGAAGAAUCCAAUGGCUUGUGUCCACGUUCAACCAAAAUGGAGAAGUGCGUGAAUCAGUGGGUAUUAAGACUGACAGAGAUGUUCAUAGGAUGAUGCAUUACAUGUUCAAAAUUGUUUUGAUGGUUGUAAUCGCUUAGUUAUUGUAAUGGUAUUUUAAUUAUUUUAGUUGUUUGUGUUGUUGUUUAUAUAAUGGUAUUUCCUCACAAACUUAUAAUAUGAAAUAAAAUUAGUUUUUUUAUAUAUUGCAACAGAGGUACAUGUGAAUUUAUCUUGUUGUGCUCGUUCCAACACUAUGACAGUUAGUACGAUUGUGACCUGGCUGACAGCAUGAACUACAUAAUCAAACCAUUUUGUUCGCCAUAUCCAUUUCGGUUCGAAUACUGGUGUUGUUUGACAACCUUCUUCUGCAACAUUUUGUCUUUGAUCUCCCGCAUAAAAUUAUGAGCAAUAUGUCUAAUACAUAAGACAUGCGUCGAAGGAGAAUCCUGUCAGUCAUUAUCAAUGUUAUCAUAUGCACUGAUGAUUGAAGGGUGUCUGUCGGAGAUCAAACAUAAGUUAGGUUGGGGUGCAACGUGCAACCAGAGAUUUCUUAGGAAAAAACUUCAUCCCUCAGCAAUCUCCCCUUCAACAAGGGCAAAGGCGAUUGGAAAAAUAUUGUUAUUAUCAUCUUGUGCCACUGCCAUUAGUAACGUUCCUUUGUAUUUCCCGUACAACCAUGUACCAUCAAUUUGUAUAAUAGGUUUACAAAAAAAAAACCUUUGAUGCAUGGUUGAUACGCCUAGAAGAGACGGUGGAAUUAUUGGGUGCCCCUUUGUGUGAUGACCAAACUGAGGGAGAGUCAUCCGGUCAAGUUAGGGGGAAAGGUAUAAAUUUAAAAUAUCUUAAACAAUAUUAUGAGAAUAUAAUAUUGUCCGAAGAAUCAACCGAGUACAAAAAAAUAGUUAAAGCUCGGUGUUAUAUUAUGAUUUUAUUUGGUAAUUUUUUAUUUCUAGAAAGUACUAGUAAUACAGUAAAUAUUAUGUAUUUAUCGUUAUUACACAACAUUAAUAAGGUAAGCACAUAUAGUUGCGGUUCAGCUGUGCUGGCCCAUCUAUAUAGUGCAAUAUGUAAAAAUUCCAAAAAAAAAUACUUGUACUUUUUAUUCAUGUGCGUAUUUGCUACAAGCAUGGGGUUGGUCAAGAAUGUCGCCAUUCACCCCUGAUAAACGAGAAGCCAUUCAUAUUUCUGUUUGCAACAAAGUAAGUUUAAAACUUUACCAUACAAUUAAUUAUACUUUAUAUUACUAUUAACUGUACAUGAUAUUUAUCAAUUGUCUAUGAUCUAGGUGGUCAGUUAGAGGGAUGAACUACAAUGGAUGUCUGAAACACGUUAUAGUAGUCUAUCGCAAUCUAUUGGAUCACAUUGGACCAGACGAUGUAAUACUCCUACACAACUCUGUUUUAAUUUAAACAUACUUAUCAAAUUAUUUAUCAUCUAAUCGUGUCGUAUUGUUGUACAGUUUAUCUGGAGGUCAUAUAUGGGUCUUAAUCAUCAGGUUAACCAUGAUGAUGCUGCAGUUUGGACAGCAAAGACACCAAUUAUUCGGUUCACUACUGUGGAGAUGCACUAGAGUGAUCGGGUAAAACUGCAGUUCGGCAUGCAACAACAGAUUCCAGAACCUUCGACGUGUUUGGGAGAUUGGCAUCAAAAAAAAGUCGAUACCCAAUGGGAUUAUUCUGACUGGAGAGACUCCGCAAAAGAGAUGUGUCGUCAUUGGAGGAAUCGACGACAACACAUCUUAAACGAACUAGUCAUACAUGGUGCUAGACCAACUCAACAAUAUAUGACAUGGUUUAGGUCAGUAACAACGCAACAAUUUGUGUCUGAACCACGGUAUUUGAUUGAUCCACGCCAACUAGUUUCGUCAUCAUACGCCCAACAACAAGUCCCCGUCCAACACCAAUGUCAAACCACCCAAACCCAACAACCAACCUCACACCAUCAACCUACCACAUACACCCAACAACCAAAUGCCCAACUUCGCAACACAUUCAUGCCACCCACCCAACAACUAAACACCCAACCUCGCAAUCCAUUCAUGCCACCCACCCAACCAUAAAACCAAGAAUCAAACUCUACCUACCAACAACCAUACUUAUCAACCACAACCAUCUAUAGCCCAGAUGAUUCAUAUGGGUCACUUCAUCGUAGCCCCCCACCAAUGACCAUCCAAACAUCCCAUCACCAAAAUACUCAACCAUUGUUUAACUAUAGUACACCCCAAUAAUCAUUUCUUCGUUUCCAAAAUGAUUCAAUGUCCCAAUUCUGGCAACUAUACCGUCCAUAAUUCACCCAACCACAUCGACCCAACUAUGACAACAUGGGCACCGAACUACAUUACGGAAGCGUUGUUGGCCAGAGCCCCCGAGCUAUUGGGAACAAAUGAUGACACGUCUAUCAAAUACUGCUAGCACUUCCGCCGGACCUUCACAACAGUCAUCAUUGGAUCAAGUCAGCACGCAAAGACCCCAAACACCUUAGGAAAAUCGUGGGAGACCUUGAAGACAAACUAACGCACCUGGUGUCAUACCCCAAUUUUGUCCGGGCAUAUUUAAAUUUUCAUAGAAUUGAUUUCAUUUUUAUUUUACAUCAUAUGCAUAGCAUGACAUACGUUCCAUCAUGAACAAUACCUAAAAUAUCAGUCAGAAUAAAUUUAUUGAAAAUACAGACAAAUCGGUUGAAUCAUUCCUCAAGAACAUGCAAAAUCAGCGGGUAAAAAGUUUCAAAUUUAAAAUUACAGACACCAAUACUAUUAAUCUACGGUUCACGUAGUUUAACCUGGUGUGCUCGUUGUAUUUUUCAGCGACUAUUUCGGUCGCAUUUUGAUCCGUCUGAGCCUUUUAACCGGUGCAAAUUUAUUUCAGAAUAUGAAGAAACGCUGUAUUUUUUCAAUAAGUAUAUUUUAUGCUGAUCAUUUUAGUGUGACCAAUUUAAUUUUCCGAGUAAAUUUGUACUCGGUUUCUAUUUCUAAUUGGUCAAUUUUGUUUUGGUUUAGUUAUUAAUUAAAAGUAAUUUAAGUUUAUUUGAAUCAAAUAUUAAAUAAAAAUUUUAGGAGUUUAUUUUCUUAAAGGAAUAAUAAUUUAAUGAAAAAAUAUAUUUGGUACAUUGGAUCCUGCCAACUGGUAUCCACUCACAUGUCUCCUCACGCAGCCACCUAUCACUGUCCUCACGCCUCCCUACUCAGCUACCAACACAUCUCUCUCAAUCACUCAGCUACCAACAGCUCUCUCUCUGUCCACUAUUUCACUCAUCCUUAUCCUCUCUUUCACACGGCACCAAUUCACUCACCACAAACAAAAUUCAUUCACACACACAUUUCUCUGAACCUCUCUUCUCUCUCUACUCUACGAAAAAAAAGAAAAAUAAGAAGAGGAUUUUCCUCUUCAUCUCUUCAUCGCCUCCACCACCCAAAACCACCCUAACAGCCACCAUUCACCGCCGAAAUCCACCGAUUAACCUCCACCCACUAAAACCCCUUCACCAACAACUCCAUCGCUUCACCUUCAAAUCGCUAUCUUCAACCCCUAAAUCAACCCGCCACUCACAAAUCGAAAACCCUCGAGAUUAACCUCCACCCACUAAAACCCCUUCACCAACAACUCCAUCGCUUCACCUUCAAAUCGCUAUCUUCAACCCCUAAAUCAACCCGCCACUCACAAAUCGAAAACCCUCGCCGCUCAAGCCACCAUCGACCAACGACCUUCUGCUCUCUCCGCCGUAGACCGGUCCAUCACCAUUUCUUCAAGAUCCUUCCUAUCACCGGUAAUCGCAGAAUAAAACCCAACGGCGCUUCGGCAUUUAGCUCGGAUCUAGAUUCUCGGUGACUUAAGGAUAUUUGGGAGUAUUUGAUUCGCAACGGUAGCUUGAAGAAGACAGUGUCGCGACUUAUCUUCAAAAAGCUCAAGGUUGGAGUAUGGUUUUUCUGUUGUACGCGAACGAAGCAACACGAAGCAACGCCGAAACCACAAUGGUUUGAGGAUGUUGAAAGGGUUGGUAUUAGCAGUUGAUGCGGUCUGCUAAGGAUGCAGUAACUCGGUGUAAAAGCAACAUCGCUCGCAAGCCAAGGAUGCAACAACAACGGUUCUGUUAUUUGGUAACUCCUUUGUUCAAGAACUCAUCACAUUUUUGAGAUGUUUUUUUUUUAUUUGAAUCAUUUUAUGUUGGAAUACGUUGAUAUUAUGGAUAGACUUUGUGUGAUAUAUACUGCGUUGUUAACAUUGCAACAACCACCUCCAAGAAUUUGGUAAUCUUUAAAUCCUUUGGUUUUGUUUGCAUUAUAAUUGCCAUUGUUGUGCAUUGGGAUUUGCCGUAUCGACUUGUUAACUUCUCGUUAAUAUUCCGGCCUUUCGUAACAUAACCUGUUUUGGUUAAAUUUAUGAUUAAGAAUUGUGAUUCUGCAUAAGCUACAGUCUUGUGCAUCCGAUUGGUUUUGAUAAUAUGUUGUGUAGUUAAGUGUUGAAUAUUUUGACGAAAUUCUGAAAUUUCUGUUCAACUCACUGCAUCCGUCUUGUUUACUCUUUGAUAAAAGUUGAAUAUUUGAUAAAAAUUCUGCUAUGAAUUUAAUACAUUUGGCUAAAAAUUAUGCUAUGAAUUUAACACAUUUGGUUAAAAAUUCUGCUAUAGUAAUAAUACAUAUUUUUAGUUGUUACUAUACUUCAGUUUUAUUUUGAUAUAGCAGGUGAGUUACAUUGCCAUGUUUUAUCUCGUAAGUCCAUUUGGCCUGAGUAUUUGAGUUUUAAUUAUGCACAUGUGAUCGGAAUUUCAAUUUAAGAUCGUGUCUGUUUGCAAAUUCAUUUGUGUUGAAACUUAAACUUUUGAAUUGAUUCCGUAGAUUGUUUUAGUUGCAGUCAUUUGAUUUUGGGGUAUGUCAAUUAAAAAACUAUGGAUUUUAUUUUGGGGUAUGUCAAUUGAAAAACCAGGGAUAUAUGGAAUGGUUACUAUAUUGGAAUUAAAGAUAGUUUCUAGCAUGAUAUAAAUUCCAAGGUUUAAACUUAUUCUUGCAUUAUUCCAACUUUUGAGUCAAUUAGUCUUUCUUCUAGUUAAGGGGAAUAUGGAUAAUAUUAAUUAUAAUAUUAUGAUUAUAUUAAUUAAUAUUGUAGUUAUAUUGUCAAUUAAGGGUUAAAGAGUGUGAUUAUGUUGAUAAAUAAUUGUUAAAAAAAAUUAAUUUUAAUCAACUUUAU